Molecule: small nucleolar RNA, 134 nt
Filed under: Coturnix japonica (Japanese quail)
Lineage: Eukaryota; Metazoa; Chordata; Aves; Galliformes; Phasianidae
Source: RNAcentral
GCCCUUCUCAAAAGCACUCGUUGGGUCUUUGUGCCGUGGCUCAGUGAGUUGUCGUGGAAGGGCAGAGAAAAGGGCAUCGCUUUUGGGUGAAGUGGCAGCUUGUGCUGUUUGUUUCAAUCAGCGAUGUGACACGG